GUCUAAAAUGGCACACUUGCUGUGCGUUUCAAUGUGGAAUUCAAAUUGUGAACCAUUUGGAGCAAGCCAAACUAAUGUCUCUUUCCUGUCCACAGGCUUUGCAUCUUCUACAGAAUGGCCAAAUUGACUGUUACAAGGCUCACCUCGACAAAAUGGCUGCCAUCCUGUGGCGUUUGGGCCUUCCAAAUAUCGGGGUGCUCAGCCAUACGCUUGUACGGUUUGAAUAUUUAAGAGUCAAGCGCUAACGUUGCCGUGUCUUUCAGGCCAGCGUGCUGUCGAAGAAGCGUCCAGCUCUGCUCUCUUCACAAGUGAAACCAAAUCUUUUAAAGCGGUGCAAGUGCGAGUACUCGUAAUUGAGCGCAGGUGUCAAAUCCAGAAAUUUGAAAAGUUUGGUUUAACCACAGGCCCGCCCACUCAACCAGCUCCUGAGAGCUGGUUAAGUUCGGCGCACCUGUGGCUUUUCUGGCUCUCUCGCACACUGAGACACAAGAUCAGAUUCGGUGUCUGGCUUCCGCAAGACCUUGCUGAUGAUCUGAUCAUUUGAAUCGGGUGUUGCACCAGGGGGGAAACGGGUGGGAGAGUGACCCCAAGACAUUUACUCAGCAUUGCGUUUGUCCCGCUCUCAUCCACCAGGUGGUGCUGAAGAACCAGGUAACACGUUGUGAUGUCGCGUAAUUCCAAGCUCAGUCCUGGAACUGUUGGUUGGAGGCGGCGCCACGAUCCACCUGAUGUCAUGCACGCUGUCAGUGCAGCUUCCAGUCACACCCGCCACCUGCUGGGUAAAGAGACAAAUGCGACAAGAUUGUGUCUGAUCCGUUUUCAACGUUGCCGUACAAAGGUAUGAAAAAGGACCUGACGGGUCUCGUUUGUCACAUUGGCAGG
Molecule: long non-coding RNA, 882 nt
Organism: Hippocampus zosterae (dwarf seahorse)
Lineage: Eukaryota; Metazoa; Chordata; Actinopteri; Syngnathiformes; Syngnathidae
Exons: 3
Source: RefSeq, a predicted model, not a curated record